This 6752-nucleotide long non-coding RNA is filed under the name Citrus sinensis (sweet orange). Its description in RNAcentral is "long non-coding RNA (CSIN_LNC003264)". Lineage: Eukaryota; Viridiplantae; Streptophyta; Magnoliopsida; Sapindales; Rutaceae. The record is from RNAcentral.
CACUUUUCUUUUCUUGUACAUCUCCGUAUUGACAGUGAUGGGCGUCGUCAAGUCCAACACCAAGUGCUCAACCGUCGGCAUUCAAGGGAUUGCAUGGGCCUUCGGUGGCAUGAUCUUCGCGCUCGUUUACUGCACAGCUGGCAUCUCGGGUUUGUACCAGCUGCGCUUCUGGUUAAUUAAUUUUAUGAGCAAAAUAACUAAAGGGUUCGACAAAAUAAUUUUUGAUUUUUUAAACUUUUUGUUGUGACGCAGGUGGUCAUAUCAACCCGGCGGUGACAUUCGGGCUGUUCUUGGCGAGGAAGCUGUCGUUGACACGUGCACUUUUCUACAUGGUGAUGCAGUGUCUGGGAGCCAUCUGUGGUGCUGGCGUUGUAAAGGGUUUCAUGGGUGCCGGCCAAUACGGUCGGCUCGGCGGCGGUGCCAAUGCUGUAGCUCAUGGCUACACCAAGGGUGAUGGUCUUGGUGCCGAGAUUAUUGGUACUUUUGUUCUUGUCUACACAGUUUUCUCUGCCACUGACGCCAAACGUAGCGCCAGAGACUCUCAUGUUCCUGUAAGUUGAUUCUUUUUCUGGUUAAUGUAUGAUUAAUUAACCAAUAAUAAUCAUAAUUAUUACCUUUACUAAUAACUACCUUAUUGAAUAUGGUUAGAUUUUGGCUCCUUUGCCAAUUGGGUUCGCUGUGUUCUUGGUUCACUUGGCUACUAUCCCUAUUACCGGAACUGGCAUCAACCCCGCAAGGAGUCUUGGAGCUGCAAUCAUCUACAACAAGGACCACGGUUGGGAUGACCAUGUAAGUUUAAUUUACUCUCUUGAUUACCCUAAAAUAAGAUCUCGGUCAUCAAGAUUACACUUGUGGACGUAAAUUCAAUAAUGGUAAUUAAUCAGUUAAUCAUGAUCAAUCUUAUAUAUGGUUUUGAUGCAGUGGAUUUUCUGGGUGGGACCAUUCAUUGGAGCAGCACUUGCAGCUUUGUACCACCAGGUUGUGAUCAGAGCCAUUCCGUUCAAAUCAAGCUGAUGGUCUUAUGAACGGUCGUGAUUGCUGAUGCAUUUGUUUAUGGCUGUCGUUGGUGGUUCUGUUUUAUAUUUUAGAUUAUCCCAAGUCCAUGCAUUUUCGGUUCGUUAAAUUUUCUGGUUGUUUGGUUUUGUGUAUGAAUUUUCUGUAAUGCCUAUGCACAAAGAAGCCGCUGGCAGUGGCUUUAUUUAAAUUUAUGUAGUUUAUUUUUUCUUAAAAAGCAAAGUAAUUUCAUUAAACAAUAAACAGUACAAUAAUGAUACACAAUACUACAAUAGUAGAUCCACACACUCUAAAUAUAUAUAUGCGGAUAAAACUGUAUAUUACAAACAUAUAAUAUAUAUAAUUAAUAAAUGGAUCUUAUCGAAUUUUUUGAAUACUAGCCAACCAAAAAGAAUUUGCCUUAGUUGAAGAGGCGUUGUUAGAAGCAUAAUCAUUAUGUAUUAUGGAACACCAUAUAUAUGCUCGCUAUCGUAUGAAGUUUGCGUGCUGGUAUUUUUUUGCGUUUUGGUUAUAAAUGAAUGUCGUUUGGAGAAUUGUUAUAUAUGUACAUAAAAUUUCAAAUUAAAAAAAAAAAUGGUUAUGAUGCUAUGAUGUAAUAUUGAAGUUUAUGGUCAAUCCAAAAGAAAAUGACUUACAAAGGAAAUGGAAUAGAUUUAAUUUAAUUAACAUUGUCGAUUAUACGACAAUUUUAAAUGGCGGAGGAUUUACUACGUAAAUUUGGAUUCAGUAUUAAGCUGACUUUUUUAAUAAUUUUUUUUAAAGAUACAAUUAAUAGUUAUUAUAUAAGAAAACAAAACUAAUCAACUUUUAAUCGUGUAUAGCUAAACAUGCACGGAUGUUUUGCUCUGUUUUGUUGCAAUGUAAUAUUACUUCUUUGUAUGGUUAAAACCAACAUUGCAUAACUAAAGAAGGGUAAAAGCUCGUUUAGUCUCUAUAUUUUGAAGUUAGUGCCCGUUUAGUCCCUAUAUUUUUAAAAAUACCUUAAACCAUCCCUACCAUUAAAUUAUUGACACUUUUGCCAUUAUCUUUUGUUCCUUUUAACUUAUUUUUAUAAUAUUGCUCUAUUAUAAUAAUUUUUUAGACAUUAUUAAAAAGAAAAAAAUAACCCUAUUAUAAUAAUUUUUUAGACAUUAUUAAAAAGGAAAAAAUAAAUUACCAGUUUAACACCAAAAAAUAAAAUAAAAUAAAAUAAUAUAUAUUAAUUUUUGUGGAACACACUCUUGAGUUAAAAUAUUAAUUUUUCUAAAAAAAUUGAUAAUGUAAUUUUUUACGAUAUUAAUUUUUUAGACAUACGUGAGUUUCCACAAAAAUUAAUAUAUACCUUUUUUGUUUUUAUUUUAUUUUUGAGUUUAAUUUGAUAAUUUAAUUUUUUAUUAAUAUCCAAAAAAGAAACAUUAUUGUAAAAAUGUAAUAUUGUAAAAGCAAGUUAAAAAUAAUAAAAAAUAAUCGCAUAAGUGUCAAUAUUUAGUAACAGGGACGUUUUGAGGUGUUUUUAAAAAUAUAGGGACUAAAUGAACACUAACCUCAUAAUAUAAGGACUAAAUUACAAGCUUUUACCCACUAAAGAAUUAUACAUUGUUUGCUUUUACUUUUUUUUUUUAAUGAAGGAUAGACAUUUGUACAACUAUACGAGAGAAUCACUAGUUUAUUAUAUAAAAAAUAUAUAUGCAAAUAAUGAAACCAAACUUCAAGAGUUUUAUGUGAUGACAUCCCAAAAUGUUAUCCCAAAUUAUAUGGCACGUGAUGUAUCAUUUAUUAAGUGGUUGAUGAUCUUUAAUAAAUUCUAAAUGAAUUAAUUAAAUUAUCUUACCAAUAAGUGAAUAAAUCCACAUCAUUUAGGAUGAAAUUUACUAUUGACUAAUUAAAUUUUUUUACUAUUAAAAAAAUAAUCUAUAGUAUUUCAUUCUUUAAAUGGAUAAGAAUUAAAAGAAUAGAAAUUAUGAGAGUAGAAAAUUAGAUUUAUAGUAUCAAGUAUGUUAAUAACUCUUUAGUUGAGUUGGUUCAUGCCAACUCUUAUUAUCUGAAAGGUCGAGGUUUUGAGUGUUUUAUAUUUAUGAGAGUAAAAUUUAACAUAAAAAAUAGUGUCAAUAUAACCUGCUCCGUUUGGAGGCAAUUUCAUAGAUAGGCUACUUUAUAAAUUUCUCAAUUUUAUAAUUUACUUAAAUAAAAAAGUAAUGUCAUUUUAGUGCAUUUUUAAUUUUUUUUUAACUCAUAUGAUGGUGCAUUUUUUAAUUCAAUAAAAAGGUACAGUCACUUCUUUGUUGUCUAUAGUUUUCAUGUUUAUGUAAUAAAAUUAUGGGUUCAUGUUGUUUCAUAUAUUUAUGUGACGUGACUCGUAUCGUUUUCUAUAUAGGGGCAUGCAGCUUGAAUAUUAUUGAGCUUAAAUUCGCUCAAAUAUUAAGGUCCAUAAAACAUUCCCUCCAAAUAGAUUACAAAUAUAAUUAAAAAGAUGCAUUUAACCUUUCUUUGCCAGAAAGAAAUGACGAAGCUAAUUAAAGCACAAACCCAACUAUUGAUUGCAAAUAUCAUGAAGAUUAUUCAAUAUCAUCCAGACAAAUCACUACAACAAUAACACGCUAUAAGAAACAUGUUAGUUGACAUGAUUGGCAUAAUUAAUUUCCAUGAAUUCGCCAUUAACUACCGUCCUGUGUAAUAUAUAAAAAUACCUGCCAGCAUAAAAUUUCUCUAUGAUUUUGUACUUAUUAAGAGAUAAUCAUUCGCUACAGCUGCCUAAUGCAGGAAGGAUUAUGAUCCUCUCUUAAUAUGAUAUUUUCAUAAAUAAAUUUUAUUAAUGUCGUUGGUGGUUAAUAAAUAAAAAAGUAAAGAUAAUUAAAUCAUAAUUAUAUAUUAGCACCAAAAUACAAGUUGUAUAAAAUCUAUAAAAUAUUAGAAAAACUCAUAUCAUGAGAGGAUUCUAGUCCAUGUAGGAAUAACAUCAAUUAGAAAAAUUAUAAUUCAAAUUAUGUGCAUAAACGCCACCCAAAAAAAAAGAAUACUAUUUUUUACUGUAGUAAUUGAUCUAAAUUCAUUUUUAAGUCGCUUCCAACUCCUGAACUUUUUUUUCGUAAGUAAUACUCAAAAAUUAAGUUAAUUGUUGUAUCAAUUUAUUUUUAUAACCUAGUGUAUUUUCAGGAAGAGUAAAAUUAUUGAUUACGACGAUGCUAUCUUUAUAACAUAAAUAGGUUUCUAAAUUCUAAUGUAGACGUUCAUGCGUUAAAAAUAUAAAUACAAAGCAACACAUUGUUCUGUUCCUAAACAUUAUCCGAGGGAGAGCUAGUUAUGCAAGUUGUAAAAAAAAAAAAAAUGUACUUAAGUAUAUUUUAUAGUCUUCUGAGUUCAACUGUUAAAAAAUUGCCUAUAUGUCUUAGGGUUUAUUUGUGAUUGAAAUUUAAAAUCUACGGCACUAAAGUAUAUGGUAAACACUAGUUACUGUAACUUGAAAGUUAUGUUGAUAUGAAUUUUCAAUUGUAUGAUGGAAGAUCUAUUAUAUCUUUAAUAAUUUUGUUAAAAUUAUUAUUUAAAAUUUAUAUUUACUAUAUAUUAUCAAUUUUUGUUUCAUAAUUACAAUUUUUUCCAUAGCAGCUGUAACUUAAAAGUUACAGCACCUUAAUCCCAAAAAGAACUUUAUUGACGACUUCUCGACGUUAAAUCAUAACUUCGAUCAACUAGGGCUGUAAUUUUUUUUAAUAAUGUUACAGUCCCCUAAUAUUUAGAAUAAAGGGUCUACUAGAACUUUCUAAUCAAUUUUGUGACUGUGCAGUCAGAUUGGCUCUAAAUAACAUAAAUUAAUAUUAUAUAGUAAAUAUGAAAUAAAAAUUAAUAGUACAUAGUAAACACAAUUUUUAAACAAUAAUUUUGUUAAAAUUAAUAAAAAUAUAAUAGAUUUUUUAUCAUAUAAGUAUAAACUCAAAUCAACUUAACUUGCAAGUUACAAUAAUUAAUAUAUAAAAAAUAUUUUAGUACUAUAACUUUGAAAUUAUAAUUGUCUAAUUUCAAUUCCAACCGAGCUAGGGGUGGCAAAAAUACCCGCCUGGUCCAGACCCGUACCGCACCCGGGCGUUGUGGGCAUGGUAUUACCCAGCUUGAGUAUGAAGCCAGACCGAUCUUGAGCAUCACUUGAUAAAUUCGGAGCUCGGCUCGGAACCCAAAUUUUAUUAAAAAAAUAUUAUAAAAUAUAUACUAUUUUAAAUAUUUAUAUUUAUUUGACUCAUUUAUUACACAUAUAUAAAAUUUUAAACACUUAAAGUUUAUAUUUUUAUAUCAAAUUUUAUUGAAAUAAAUUUAAAACUUAUAAAAUUACCAAAAAAAAUAUACACAUAUAAUAUUAAAAAAUAUAAAAUUUAGGUACUCGCAUUAAAACUUGAUCCGAACAUCUAAAAAUUACAUCCAAACUAAGUCUGGACAUUGCGAUACCCGAACCCAACCCAGGAUUUUGCCAACCCUAAACCGAGCCUUCGACUUCUAAAUAAAUAUUUUGAAACAACGACGGAUAAAAUAAAUAAAGCCAUUCAAAUAGGAACGGACUAAUUCAUGGAGGCAUCAAUUCGUAAAGUUACAGUCGUGCCAGUGAACCAAUUCCUUAGAGCGAAAUGGACACACGGAAAGGACAAUAGGCCAGAGCAACCGACAUAAUUCACAUUAAGAAAAUGACAAUAAAGCUGAUUGAUAAUGAGAAAGACUUUGAGAGUGUAAAACGAAAUUAAAAUUAAAUAACCUACUUGCUUUGGUUUCUGUAAUUUGCCCUAAAAAGAGCAAUGAAAUUACGUAAUAAAUCCCGUGAUCAUCAUGUCCCAAUUCCCACCCACUCGGUCUGCUUGACCCUUGAUGGACGGUGGCCACAACAUCAUUACAGAUGUGGAUGAAAUUGAGCCAGCUAGGAUACCCCAACGUAAUGUCAUUUUUCUUUCUAAAUAGUCUAAGCGCAUUUAAGUAAUUUCCACAAAAUUCCAAGAAAAUGAUUGGUCGGUCACAAGAUAAGUAAGUAAAUUCAAUUUUAUACACCAAAUUGGAGCCCACCACCUGCACUCAUCACUCCCUGAUCCGGAUGAUAUAACCCCCUUCCCCCAACUUCUAGUACUCUCUCACUCAUUCUCAUCACAACAUCAAACGGCCACAAACAAAAAAGCAAGUGCUUCUUAUUGACUGUUUUGUGUUUUUGAGGGACUAGCAGAAAUGGAAGGUAAAGAAGAGGAUGUUAGACUGGGAGCCAACAAGUUCGCCGAGAGGCAGCCGAUUGGGACGGCGGCUCAGACCCAAGAUGGGAAGGACUACGUUGAGCCCCCACCGGCGCCGCUCUUUGAGCCCGGCGAGCUCAAGUCUUGGUCGUUUUACAGGGCCGGUAUAGCCGAGUUCAUAGCCACUUUUCUUUUCUUGUACAUCUCCGUACUGACAGUGAUGGGCGUCGUCAAGUCCAAUACCAAGUGCUCAACCGUCGGCAUUCAAGGGAUUGCAUGGGCCUUCGGUGGCAUGAUCUUCGUGCUCGUUUACUGCACAGCUGGCAUCUCGGGUUCGUACCGGCUGCGCCUCUGCUUGGUUAAUUUUAUAAGCAAAAUAUCUAAAGUGUUUUUAAAACUGUUUGUUUUGACGCAGGUGGUCAUAUCAACCCGGCGGUGACACUCGGCCUGUUCUUGGCGAGGAAGCUGUCGCUGACACGUGCACUUUUCUACAUGGUGAUGCAGUGUCUGGGAGCCAUCUGCGGUGCUGGCGUUGUAAAGGGUUUCAUGGGUGCCGGCCAAUAC